GGACCGCAGCCAGGCCGACGGCUGGGAGUCGGACCAGGAACGCUGGCAGAGCCGCAGAAACGCCCGCCGCGACGUCGAGAAGCAAAUGGCGGAUGGCGGAGCCACCAUGGAUAUGCUGCAAAGCGAUGAGGAAGAAGAGGAAGAUGAAGAGGCGGACGAGGUCAUUGACACGUUCCAUCCGGACGACCUCAAUGAUGCUGACGAUGAAGAGGAAGAUGAUGCGGACGGGGAAACGGACGAGAUCGCCAAACUGCUGCCGCUGCCUCGGAAGACGGCGAACACCGCGCAGGACGCUACUAAGCCGACACCGCCAGGCCCGCACCUCGUCUGAACAGGCUGAACAACUGGCCCCGAGCUAACAGCGACGGGACCUCCCGGCACUGACAGAGCUGGUCGGGCGAGAAGCCAGCUGUGGCCUGAUCAUGUGGGCUAGGAUUUAAAGGCGGACAAGUACCAUGAGGACGUGCUAGUCCGAACGUGAUCCAAACCAAUCGAAGAAAACAUAUUGAACCGGCCUUGUACUGAGGUCCACCACGGUCAUUACUUCACCAACCGAUCGGGCGGACGGCGGUGGCGAACAGACAGCAGGCUGCGCUGAGGCUUAGCAGCAUGCUGAACAAGUUAGCAGCACCUGACUUCAGACAGCAUGUCCCACUCCCUUUAAACGCGUGAUUGCAGGCUGAUCACGAAGUGGAACUGAGCUUCGAAGUGGAUUUAUCAAACCUUAGGACUCUCAUAGACUCUAACCAUCUUUUUGGCGUGUUGGCUUCAGUCCAUUAUUGUCCGGUUCUUUGCAGUUUCAUUGUGCACGUUGUUUGUGGCUUGCAUUUAAUGUGGACCGCGCGUGGCCGAUGAUUCCAAA
Long non-coding RNA from Pollicipes pollicipes, 862 nucleotides. RefSeq lists it as uncharacterized. The transcript is spliced from 3 exons. Lineage: Eukaryota; Metazoa; Arthropoda; Thecostraca; Pollicipedomorpha; Pollicipedidae. The record is from RefSeq and is a predicted model, not a curated record.